CGAUGGAUAACAGGUUGAUAUUCCUGUACCACCUAUAAUCGUUUUAAUCGAUGGGGGGACGCAGUAGGAUAGGCGAAGCGUGCGAUUGGAUUGCACGUCUAAGCAGUAAGGCUGAGUAUUAGGCAAAUCCGGUACUCGUUAAGGCUGAGCUGUGAUGGGGAGAAGACAUUGUGUCUUCGAGUCGUUGAUUUCACACUGCCGAGAAAAGCCUCUAGAUAGAAAAUAGGUGCCCGUACCGCAAACCGACACAGGUAGUCAAGAUGAGAAUUCUAAGGUGAGCGAGCGAACUCUCG
RNAcentral lists this ribosomal RNA (293 nucleotides) under Staphylococcus aureus. RNAcentral describes it as "partial 23S ribosomal RNA". It matches the Rfam family "Bacterial large subunit ribosomal RNA", at positions 1416 to 1704 of the family's 2925-position model. Lineage: Bacteria; Bacillati; Bacillota; Bacilli; Caryophanales; Staphylococcaceae. The record is from RNAcentral.